Molecule: ribosomal RNA, 253 nt
Filed under: uncultured bacterium
Lineage: Bacteria
Description: partial 16S ribosomal RNA
Rfam family: Bacterial small subunit ribosomal RNA
Source: RNAcentral
GACAGAGGGGGCAAGCGUUGCUCGGAAUUACUGGGCGUAAAGGGCGCGUAGGCGGGAUGGCAAGUCGGUCGUGAAAUCCCUCGGCUCAACCGAGGAACGUCGAUCGAUACUGCUGUUCUUGAGGAUUGCAGAGGAGACUGGAAUUCCCGGUGUAGCGGUGAAAUGUGUAGAGAUCGGGAGGAACACCGGUGGCGAAGGCGGGUCUCUGGGCAGUAACUGACGCUGAGGAGCGAAAGCGUGGGGAGCGAACAGG